GACGAACGCUGGCGGCGUGCUUAACACAUGCAAGUCGAACGGAAAGGCCCUGCUUUUGUGGGGUGCUCGAGUGGCGAACGGGUGAGUAACACGUGAGUAACCUGCACUUGACUUUGGGAUAACUUCAGGAAACUGGGGCUAAUACCGGAUAGGAGCUACUGCUGCAUGGUGGGGGUUGGAAAGUUUAGGCGGUUGGGGAUGGACUCGCGGCUUAUCAGCUUGUUGGUGGGGUAGUGGCUUACCAAGGCUUUGACGGGUAGCCGGCCUGAGAGGGUGACCGGCCACAUUGGGACUGAGCUACGGCACAGACUCCUACGGGAGGCAGCGGUGGGGAAUAUUACACAGUGGGCGGAAGCCUGAUGCAGCACCGCCGCGUGCGGGAUGACGUCCUUCGGGUUGUAAACCGCUUUCGCCUGUGACGAAGCGUGAGUGACGGUAAUGGGUAAAGAAGCACCGGCUAACUACGUG
RNAcentral lists this ribosomal RNA (468 nucleotides) under uncultured bacterium. Its description in RNAcentral is "partial 16S ribosomal RNA". It matches the Rfam family "Bacterial small subunit ribosomal RNA", at positions 28 to 507 of the family's 1533-position model. The record is from RNAcentral.